AUUGAACGCUAGCGGCAUGCCUUGCACAUGCAAGUCGAACGGCAGCGGGGGAGCUUGCUCCCGCCGGCGAGUGGCGAACGGGUGAGUAAUACAUCGGAACGUACCCAGUAGCGGGGGAUAGCCCGGCGAAAGCCGGAUUAAUACCGCAUACGCCCUACGGGGGAAAGGGGGGGAUCGCAAGACCUCUCACGAUUGGAGCGGCCGAUGGCUGAUUAGCUAGUUGGUGGGGGAAAGGCCUACCAAGGCGACGAUCAGUAGCUGGUCUGAGAGGACGACCAGCCACACUGGGACUGAGACACGGCCCAGACUCCUACGGGAGGCAGCAGUGGGGAAUUUUGGACAAUGGGCGAAAGCCUGAUCCAGCAAUGCCGCGUGUGCGAAGAAGGCCUUCGAGUUGUAAAGCACUUUUGUCAGGGAAGAAAUCGUUUGGGUUAAUACCCCGAGCAGUUGACGGUACCUGAAGAAUAAGCACCGGCUAACUACGUGCCAGCAGCCGCGGUAA
Molecule: ribosomal RNA, 502 nt
Filed under: uncultured bacterium
Lineage: Bacteria
Description: partial 16S ribosomal RNA
Rfam family: Bacterial small subunit ribosomal RNA
Source: RNAcentral